RNAcentral lists this transfer RNA (190 nucleotides) under Marmota monax (woodchuck). Its description in RNAcentral is "tRNA.Ala". Lineage: Eukaryota; Metazoa; Chordata; Mammalia; Rodentia; Sciuridae. The record is from RNAcentral.
GGGGUUGUGGCUCAGUGGUAGAGCGCUCGUCUAGCACGUGUGAGGCCCUAGGUAAGAUCCUCAGCACUGCAUAAAAAUAAAGAAAUAAAAUAAAAGGUUUUUAAAAAUGUGAUAAAACUAGAGAUUCAGGGCUAACCAUAGAGCACUUGCCUAGCAUAUGUGAGGCCUGGGUUCAAUUCUCAGCACCACA